This 497-nucleotide ribosomal RNA is filed under the name uncultured bacterium. Its description in RNAcentral is "partial 16S ribosomal RNA". It matches the Rfam family "Bacterial small subunit ribosomal RNA", at positions 28 to 507 of the family's 1533-position model. The record is from RNAcentral.
GAUGAACGCUGGCGGCGUGCCUAAUACAUGCAAGUCGAGCGAACAGACGAGGAGCUUGCUCCUCUGACGUUAGCGGCGGACGGGUGAGUAACACGUGGAUAACCUACCUAUAAGACUGGGAUAACUUCGGGAAACCGGAUCUAAUACCGGAUAAUAUAUUGAACCGCAUGGUUCAAUAGUGAAAGACGGUUUUGCUGUCACUUAUAGAUGGAUCCGCGCCGCAUUAGCUAGUUGGUAAGGUAACGGCUUACCAAGGCAACGAUGCGUAGCCGACCUGAGAGGGUGAUCGGCCACACUGGAACUGAGACACGGUCCAGACUCCUACGGGAGGCAGCAGUAGGGAAUCUUCCGCAAUGGGCGAAAGCCUGACGGAGCAACGCCGCGUGAGUGAUGAAGGUCUUCGGAUCGUAAAACUCUGUUAUUAGGGAAGAACAAAUGUGUAAGUAACUAUGCACGUCUUGACGGUACCUAAUCAGAAAGCAACGGCUAACUACGUG